GCUCAGGAUGAACGCUGGCGGCGUGCCUAAUACAUGCAAGUCGAACGAGUUCUCGUUGAUGAUCGGUGCUUGCACCGAGAUUCAACAUGGAACGAGUGGCGGACGGGUGAGUAACACGUGGGUAACCUGCCCUUAAGUGGGGGAUAACAUUUGGAAACAGAUGCUAAUACCGCAUAGAUCCAAGAACCGCAUGGUUCUUGGCUGAAAGAUGGCGUAAGCUAUCGCUUUUGGAUGGACCCGCGGCGUAUUAGCUAGUUGGUGAGGUAAUGGCUCACCAAGGCGAUGAUACGUAGCCGAACUGAGAGGUUGAUCGGCCACAUUGGGACUGAGACACGGCCCAAACUCCUACGGGAGGCAGCAGUAGGGAAUCUUCCACAAUGGACGCAAGUCUGAUGGAGCAACGCCGCGUGAGUGAAGAAGGCUUUCGGGUCGUAAAACUCUGUUGUUGGAGAAGAAUGGUCGGCAGAGUAACUGUUGUCGGCGUGACGGUAUCCAACCAGAAAGCCACGGCUAACUACGUGCCAGCAGCCGCGGUAAUACGUAGGUGGCAAGCGUUAUCCGGAUUUAUUGGGCGUAAAGCGAGCGCAGGCGGUUUUUUAAGUCUGAUGUGAAAGCCCUCGGCUUAACCGAGGAAGCGCAUCGGAAACUGGGAAACUUGAGUGCAGAAGAGGACAGUGGAACUCCAUGUGUAGCGGUGAAAUGCGUAGAUAUAUGGAAGAACACCAGUGGCGAAGGCGGCUGUCUGGUCUGUAACUGACGCUGAGGCUCGAAAGCAUGGGUAGCGAACAGGAUUAGAUACCCUGGUAGUCCAUGCCGUAAACGAUGAAUGCUAGGUGUGGGAGGGUUUCCGCCCUUCAGUGCCGCAGCUAACGCAUUAAGCAUUCCGCCUGGGGAGUACGACCGCAAGGUUGAAACUCAAAGGAAUUGACGGGGGCCCGCACAAGCGGUGGAGCAUGUGGUUUAAUUCGAAGCAACGCGAAGAACCUUACCAGGUCUUGACAUCUUUUGAUCACCUGAGAGAUCAGGUUUCCCCUUCGGGGGCAAAAUGACAGGUGGUGCAUGGUUGUCGUCAGCUCGUGUCGUGAGAUGUUGGGUUAAGUCCCGCAACGAGCGCAACCCUUAUGACUAGUUGCCAGCAUUUAGUUGGGCACUCUAGUAAGACUGCCGGUGACAAACCGGAGGAAGGUGGGGAUGACGUCAAAUCAUCAUGCCCCUUAUGACCUGGGCUACACACGUGCUACAAUGGAUGGUACAACGAGUUGCGAGACCGCGAGGUCAAGCUAAUCUCUUAAAGCCAUUCUCAGUUCGGACUGUAGGCUGCAACUCGCCUACACGAAGUCGGAAUCGCUAGUAAUCGCGGAUCAGCACGCCGCGGUGAAUACGUUCCCGGGCCUUGUACACACCGCCCGUCACACCAUGAGAGUUUGUAACACCCGAAGCCGGUGGCGUAACCCUUUUAGGGAGCGAGCCGUCUAAGGUGGGACAAAUGAUU
This 1492-nucleotide ribosomal RNA is filed under the name uncultured organism. RNAcentral's name for it is "SSU rRNA". It matches the Rfam family "Bacterial small subunit ribosomal RNA". The record is from RNAcentral.